GGGAAUAUUGGACAAUGGGCGCAAGCCUGAUCCAGCCAUGCCGCGUGAGUGAUGACGGCCCUAGGGUUGUAAAGCUCUUUUACCUGGGAAGAUAAUGACGGUACCAGGAGAAUAAGCCCCGGCUAACUUCGUGCCAGCAGCCGCGGUAAUACGAAGGGGGCUAGCGUUGUUCGGAUUUACUGGGCGUAAAGCGCACGUAGGCGGACGCUUAAGUCAGGGGUGAAAUCCCGAGGCUCAACCUCGGAACUGCCUUUGAUACUGGGUGUCUUGAGUCCGGGAGAGGUGAGUGGAACUGCGAGUGUAGAGGUGAAAUUCGUAGAUAUUCGCAAGAACACCAGUGGCGAAGGCGGCUCACUGGCCCGGUACUGACGCUGAGGUGCGAAAGCGUGGGGAGCAAA
RNAcentral lists this ribosomal RNA (398 nucleotides) under uncultured bacterium. RNAcentral describes it as "bacterial SSU rRNA". It matches the Rfam family "Bacterial small subunit ribosomal RNA", at positions 357 to 772 of the family's 1533-position model. The record is from RNAcentral.